GACGAACGCUGGCGGCGUGCUUAACACAUGCAAGUCGAACGGAAAGGCCUCUUUCGGGGGGUACUCGAGUGGCGAACGGGUGAGUAACACGUGAGUAACCUGCCCUUGACUUUGGGAUAACUUCAGGAAACUGGGGCUAAUACCGGAUAGGAGCUCCUGCUGCAUGGGGGGGGUUGGAAAGUUUCGGCGGUUGGGGAUGGACUCGCGGCUUAUCAGCUUGUUGGUGGGGUAGUGGCUUACCAAGGCUUUGACGGGUAGCCGGCCUGAGAGGGUGACCGGCCACAUUGGGACUGAGAUACGGCCCAGACUCCUACGGGAGGCAGCAGGGGGGAAUAUUGCACAAUGGGUGGAAGCCUGAUGCAGCAACGCCGUGUGCGGGAUGACGGCCUUCGGGUUGUAAACCGCUUUCGCUCAUGACGAAGCUUUGUGUGACGGUAGUGGGUAAAGAAGCACCGGCUAACUACGUG
Molecule: ribosomal RNA, 467 nt
Filed under: uncultured bacterium
Lineage: Bacteria
Description: partial 16S ribosomal RNA
Rfam family: Bacterial small subunit ribosomal RNA
Source: RNAcentral